Molecule: ribosomal RNA, 789 nt
Filed under: uncultured Neocallimastigales
Lineage: Eukaryota; Fungi; Neocallimastigomycota; Neocallimastigomycetes; Neocallimastigales
Description: partial large subunit ribosomal RNA
Rfam family: Eukaryotic large subunit ribosomal RNA
Source: RNAcentral
CGUCUAUAUACGUAUAGCAUAUCAAUAAGCGGAGGAAAAGAAACUAACUAGGAUUCCCUCAGUAACGGCGAGUGAAGCGGGAAGAGCUCAAAUUUGAAAUCUUCAAGGUUCUACCUUGACGAAUUGUAGUUUAAAGAAGUGUUUUCUGUUGGAGUUUUGGUAAAAGUUCUUUGGAAUAGGACAUCAUAGAGGGUGAGAAUCCCGUAUUUGAUCACUUAUUCUACUAACGUUGUGAUACACUUUCAAAGAGUCGGAUUGUUUGGGAAUGCAGUCCAAAAUGGGUGGUAAAUUUCAUCUAAAGCUAAAUACUUGGCGAGAGACCGAUAGCGAACAAGUACCGUGAGGGAAAGAUGAAAAGAACUUUGAAAAGAGAGUUAAACAGUACGUGAAAUUGUCAAAAGGGAAGCGUUUGACACCAGUGUUGUUUUUCUCGAAAAUCAAUUAAGAAUGGCUGGGAUUUUAGUUGUCAUUGACCUUUAUAAGCUUGUCUGCCUUAUUUUUCUUAUCUUUUUUAAUGCACUUUUCGGUUAACAAGUCAACAUCAAUUUCUUUUGUUGUAAAAGAGUCAUUGGAAGGUGGCUUUACUUUCGGAGGAAAGUGUUUAUAGCCUUUGGCUUCUGCAAUCGGAGAGAUUGAGGUCUGCAGCGUAGAUCCUUCGGGGUUAGAUACAUUUGUGCUAAGUUAUAGCCUUUUCAUAGACAACUUGUUGACUAUGAUUAGUCAUUGUAGACUUACUCGCUGACUGCUAUUUUACCUACGCUUAGGAUGUUGAUAUGCAUGACUGAUAUA